UACGAAGGGGGCUAGCGUGCUCGGAAUCACUGGGCGUAAAGCGCACGUAGGCGGGUCUUUAAGUCAGGGGUGAAAUCCUGGAGCUCAACUCCAGAACUGCCUUUGAUACUGAGGAUCUCGAGUCCGGGAGAGGUGAGUGGAACUCCGAGUGUAGAGGUGAAAUUCGUAGAUAUUCGGAAGAACACCAGUGGCGAAGGCGGCUCACUGGCCCGGUACUGACGCUGAGGUGCGAAAGCGUGGGGAGCAAACAGG
Molecule: ribosomal RNA, 252 nt
Filed under: uncultured bacterium
Lineage: Bacteria
Description: partial 16S ribosomal RNA
Rfam family: Bacterial small subunit ribosomal RNA
Source: RNAcentral